ACUGGUGAUUGAUGACGGCACAGGUGAGGCUCACAUCUGGUUCUCUGGUGAUCUGGUUCGUCCUCUGCUGGGAUUGGCUGAUUCUCAGUGGGAGGGGCUUCAGAGAGCGCUCAAGGUCAGAGGCCACGUCAGAGUGUACCCCCGGGGGCGGAGCCUGGUGUGUGAUGCUGACGACCCCCUCCUCCACUUCCUGUUGUGUGUGUGCAGCAGUGAAGUUGUGUGUCGUCAGCUCACUCUCACCUGCAGGAAACACAACACCCAGAGAUCAGAAGAGAUGAAGAGGUUCAGUCGAGGAGACAGAGACUUCAUGACCAGAGUGACUCCUCCUCUACAGCUCACCUGUACAAACAUCAUCACUGACUGACCUCACCUGUGUGCAUGCUGGCAGGAAGUCCUCCACAGGAAGAGGCGGAGUCAGCUCACCUGGUCGAAGAAAACGUGUCUGACUGCAGAGCUGCAUCACAUCAUCUACAGAGCUGCAUCACAUCAUCUACAGAGCUGCAUCACAUCAGCUACAGAGCUGCAUCACAUCAUCUACAGAGCUGCAUCACAUCUACAGAGCUGCAUCACAUCAGCUACAGAGCUGCAUCACAUCAUCUACAGAGCUGCAUCACAUCAUCUACAGAGCUGCAUCACAUCAUCUACAGAGCUGCAUCACAUCAUCUACAGAGCUGCAUCACAUCAUCUACAGAGCUGCAUCACAUCAACUACAGAGCUGCAUCCCAUCAUCUACAGAGCUGCAUCACAUCUACAGAGCUGCAUCACAUCAUCUACAGAGCUGCAUCACAUCAACUACAGAGCUGCAUCACAUCAUCUACAGAGCUGCAUCACAUCAACUACAGAGCUGCAUCACAUCAACUACAGAGCUGCAUCACAUCUACAGAGCUGCAUCACAUCAUCUACAGAGCUACUACAGAGCUGCAUCACAUCAACUACAGAGCUGCAUCACAUCAUCUACAGAGCUGCAUCACAUCAUCUACAGAGCUGCAUCACAUCAUCUACAGAGCUGCAUCACAUCAUCUACAGAGCUGCAUCACAUCAUCUACAGAGCUGCAUCACAUCAACUACAGAGCUGCAUCACAUCAACUACAGAGCUGCAUCACAUCAUCUACAGAGCUGCAUCACAUCAUCUACAGAGCUGCAUCACAUCAUCUACAGAGCUGCAUCACAUCAACUACAGAGCUGCAUCACAUCAACUACAGAGCUGCAUCACAUCUACAGAGCUGCAUCACAUCAACUACAGAGCUGCAUCACAUCAUCUACAGAGCUGCAUCACAUCAUCUACAGAGCUGCAUCACAUCAUCUACAGAGCUGCAUCACAUCUACAGAGCUGCAUCACAUCAUCUACAGAGCUGCAUCACAUCAACUACAGAGCUGCAUCACAUCUACAGAGCUGCAUCACAUCUACAGAGCUGCAUCACAUCAUCUACAGAGCUGCAUCACAUCAACUACAGAGCUGCAUCACAUCAUCUACAGAGCUGCAUCACAUCAACUACAGAGCUGCAUCACAUCAUCUACAGAGCUGCAUCACAUCAUCUACAGAGCUGCAUCACAUCAUCUACAGAGCUGCAUCACAUCAUCUACAGAGCUGCAUCACAUCAACUACAGAGCUGCAUCACAUCAACUACAGAGCUGCAUCACAUCAUCUACAGAGCUGCAUCACAUCAACUACAGAGCUGCAUCACAUCUACAGAGCUGCAUCACAUCAUCUACAGAGCUGCAUCACAUCUACAGAGCUGCAUCACAUCAUCUACAGAGCUGCAUCACAUCAACUACAGAGCUGCAUCACAUCUACAGAGCUGCAUCACAUCAUCUACAGAGCUGCAUCACAUCAUCUACAGAGCUGCAUCACAUCAUCUACAGAGCUGCAUCACAUCUACAGAGCUGCAUCACAUCAACUACAGAGCUGCAUCACAUCAACUACAGAGCUGCAUCACAUCAACUACAGAGCUGCAUCACAUCAACGGGCGACUGACUAUUUUUCCUGGCCAAAGUCAGGGUCCUUGAACACAACACGGCGAGUGUAAAACAGAAAGGUGGAUGCGUCGCACUUUCCAGGAGAAAUGGACAAACGAUUAUUUCUGUGUGGAAGUUAAAGGCCAGUGUGCCUAGUUUGUGCGGUGAUGAAAAAUAAUCUUGAGCGUCAUUACAGCACGAGACCCUCUGUCCUUACACCCUCUGUCCUUAGACCCUCUGUCCUUAGACCCUCUGUCCUCAGACCCUCUGUCCUUAGACCCUCUGUGCUCAGACCCUCUGUCCUUAGACCCUCUGUCCUCAGACCCUCUGUCUUUAGACCCUCUGUCCUUAGACCCUCGCAUCACACAAGGAAAAACCUCCUAAAAGAAACCCCAUAAUUAAAGGGGGAACAUGUUAGAAACCUCAGGGAGAGACUAAGGAGGGAUCCCUCUCCCAGGACGGACAGACGUGCAAUAGAUGUCGUGUGUACAGGAUAAACAACAUAGUACAAAUACAACAUGUGACAGAAAUGAUGUUGUGUUGAAAAAGAGAAAGUUUGGAUGAAUCCAGGAAAUGAAUCAAAAUCAAUAAGGCUUCCAGGUGUCCAGCAGGACCAGGGCAGCAGGCGCAGCCAUGAUUCAUGAUCCUGACGUAAACUUUAUCAGUGGCAACCUGCCACAUGAGACACAGACACUCUGGGGAUGAUGCCCCGGAUGAUGAGUUAGUAACAUACAUUUACAUAAAUGCAUACAGAUAGAGAGGGAGAAGAAGAGAGGGAGGGGAGGAGAGAGGAAGAGAGCAGGGAGGUGUCCCCCGGCAGUCUAAGCCUAUAGCAGCAUAACUAGGGGCUGAUCCAGGGCAAACCUGAGCCAGCCCUAACUAUAAGCUUUAUCAAAAAGGAAAGUCUUUAGCCUACUCUUAAAUGUGGAGAGUGUGUCUGCCUCCCGAACACAAACUGGAAGCUGGUUCCACUGAAGAGGAGCUUGAUAGCUGAAGGCUCUGGCUCCCAUUGUACUCUUAGAGACUCUAGGAACCACAAGUAACCCUGCAGUCUGGGAGCGUAAUGCUCUAGUUGGUUUAUAAGGUACUAUGAGAUCUUUAAGAUAUGCUGGAGCCUGACCAUUAAUUGCUUUGUAAGUCAGGAGAAGGAUUUUGAAUUCUAUUCUAUAUUUUACCGGGAGCCAGUGCAGAUAAAAUAUUUAUAAAAAAUAAUAAAGUUAACGCUCUUCGGUGGAGUUUGUCCCAACAAGCAGCUCUCUGCAGAGCGGAACAUACAAACAUGGACAGAUAGAGAGGUAGACCCCCACACCAAGAACACACUGUUCCACCACUGCUGUGCAGUUAUCACUGCCAUGUGCAAUACUCACUUUAUUUAUAUCACUUGGUACUUAUAUUAUGUUUAUUCUAUUUAAUUAUUGUGUUCUGCCUUUUUACUUCAUGUUCUUCUGCUGUAACAAAAUAAAUGUCCCCGUUGUGGGACUAAUAAAGGAUUUCUGUUUUCUGAUAAAACAAAGUUGCUUCUUUGCAUUUAGCAUAAAGAAAAGUGAAAUGAACGAGCUGCGUCUUAAAAACAAUGUGCAGAAGUUAUGAGUUCAAUAAUUAGUACGACCCUCGAAGGAUGUUGUUAAAAAUAAAAUGGCCCUUGACAUGAAAAA
RNAcentral lists this long non-coding RNA (3611 nucleotides) under Cottoperca gobio. RNAcentral describes it as "lncRNA (ENSCGOG00000016404.1)". Lineage: Eukaryota; Metazoa; Chordata; Actinopteri; Perciformes; Bovichtidae. The record is from RNAcentral.